CCCUUAGAUGUUCUGGGCCGCACGCGCGCUACACUGACGGAGUCAACGAGUUGUCCUGCAUCGGAAGGUGUGGGUAAUCUUUUGAAACUUCGUCGUGCUGGGGAUAGAUCUUUGCAAUUUUCGAUCUUGUACGAGGAAUUCCUAGUAAGCGUGAUUCAUCAGAUCGCGUUGAUUACGUCCCUGCCCUUUGUACACACCGCCCGUCGCUACUACCGAUUGAAUGGUUUAGUGAGGCCUCGGGACUGGCGCGCUCGAGUAGCAAUACACCUGCGCGCCGGGAACUUGGUCAAACUUGAUCAUUUAGAGGAAGUAAAAGUCGUAACA
Molecule: ribosomal RNA, 324 nt
Filed under: uncultured eukaryote
Lineage: Eukaryota
Description: partial 18S ribosomal RNA
Rfam family: Eukaryotic small subunit ribosomal RNA
Source: RNAcentral